This 88-nucleotide transfer RNA is filed under the name Firmicutes bacterium CAG:791. It matches the Rfam family "tRNA". From Rfam's summary of the family: Transfer RNA (tRNA) molecules are approximately 80 nucleotides in length. Their secondary structure includes four short double-helical elements and three loops (D, anti-codon, and T loops). RNAcentral also lists the same sequence under 13 other names. Lineage: Bacteria; Bacillati; Bacillota. The record is from Rfam by way of RNAcentral.
GGAGGAUUACCCAAGUGGUCGAAGGGGGCGCACUCGAAAUGCGUUAGGCCGGUCAAACGGUGCGAGGGUUCGAAUCCCUUGUCCUCCG